CCGCCGCGGGGCUCCAGCCCGGGACCCCAGCCCGGGACCCCGGGGUCACGGCCUGGGCGGGCGCCUCGCGGCUCCGGGCUCUGAAGAGGCCACGUGACGCUCAGGCCGCGGCGCGUCCCUGUCAAGUCAACGCGGAGGGUGCGCGCUUAGCCGCAGACGGCAACUAUGCUGCAGGGAAACAGAAGUGGGAAAGGACCGGCGGGCCGAGGCCAGGUCCCGUGGGGCUUUUAAAAGACUCGUGGGUGUGCUUCGAGUACAGUAGGAAGCUGUUGCGGGUGUGCCGCGUCGAGCGGCGUCUUCGAGAAGCAGGUCCUCCGAGCGCAGGUGCGCCCAGCAGCUGUGUCCUGGCAGCCAAACCUGCCCACUUCCUGCUUCGGGGGGGCCUGCGAGCCAACAGCGAGAGUGGUUCUUAGGUUCUCAAGCGGUAGGGAAAAAGCAGAGUCUCCUGUGACAGGGGAAAAAUUUAUGAAACUCAGACGUUGGUCUCCCUAAUUAAAGCUUCAUCGGAACAGUCACGGCCCGCUGGGCCCGCACCAGCUGUGAGUGGCCGCUGUCACCUUGCAGUAGCACAACUGGGGACUUGUGACAAAGGCCAGAUGUCUCUCAACUCAAUACCUAAAACGUGUGCGCCCCGCCCGUUCACAGAAGAAGUUUGUGAUGUGUGCAGACUAGGGAGGGAAGUGAGAACCUCAGGCGUACCAGAAGGCAGUCCAUCAUGCUGGCCGGGUUACAGAGAGGGAUUUGGACGGAGGUGGGUCGAGUGGACACAGAGUGAAGAGCGUGGAGGUGGGGUCGGCAGCCGCAGGGAAGAUGAUCCCCAGGUGUUUGUGCUGAACUUGACGUGACGGCACAUACGGCUUACUGUUCUCCAGGCCCUCUCUCCGUGCUUCAUCAGUCGUCGUGACGCUGCUGCUGCUCUUGUGCCCAUUUUAUACAUAAGGCUUGAGAGGCUGAGGACGUUUGACCGGCCCAGAACCACAGCAGGGCAAUAGGAGCUGUGUUUGGACCUGGGCAGGCCAACAUGAAGUCAGUUGUCUCCAGUCCAUGAUGGAUGAGCAAUCAACAUUUCAUAAAGGAAGGAGUGGUCUUAUAGAGGUUAUCGAGAAUGCAUGACAGGAUGUGUAAUAACGUGUCGACGUUAAAAAAAAAAAAAAAGUGCUCUCUUCUGUGAGUUAACUGGGCUAAUCUCUUCAAAUAU
Canis lupus familiaris (dog) is the source of this 1198-nucleotide long non-coding RNA. RefSeq lists it as uncharacterized. The record is from RefSeq and is a predicted model, not a curated record. NCBI's taxonomy places the organism in Eukaryota, Metazoa, Chordata, Mammalia, Carnivora, Canidae. The transcript has 2 exons.